AAGUAGGUCCCAAGGGUAUGGCUGUUCGCCAUUUAAAGUGGUACGCGAGCUGGGUUUAGAACGUCGUGAGACAGUUCGGUCCCUAUCUGCCGUGGGCGCUGGAGAACUGAGGGGGGCUGCUCCUAGUACGAGAGGACCGGAGUGGACGCAUCACUGGUGUUCGGGUUGUCAUGCCAAUGGCACUGCCCGGUAGCUAAAUGCGGAAGAGAUAAGUGCUGAAAGCAUCUAAGCACGAAACUUGCCCCGAGAUGAGUUCUCCCUGACUCCUUGAGAGUCCUGAAGGAACGUUGAAGACGACGACGUUGAUAGGCCGGGUGUGUAAGCGCAGCGAUGCGUUGAGCUAACCGGUACUAAUGAACCGUGAGGCUUAACCUUACAACGCCGAAG
RNAcentral lists this ribosomal RNA (387 nucleotides) under Escherichia coli. Its description in RNAcentral is "bacterial LSU rRNA". It matches the Rfam family "Bacterial large subunit ribosomal RNA", at positions 2556 to 2925 of the family's 2925-position model. Lineage: Bacteria; Pseudomonadati; Pseudomonadota; Gammaproteobacteria; Enterobacterales; Enterobacteriaceae. The record is from RNAcentral.